UACAGAGGGUGCGAGCGUUAAUCGGAAUUACUGGGCGUAAAGGGCGCGUAGGCGGCCUGUCAAGACUUUUGUGAAACCCCUGGGCUUAACCUGGGGACUGCAAGGGUGACUGAUGGGCUAGAGUACGGUAGAGGGCGGUGGAAUUUCCGGUGUAGCGGUGAAAUGCGUAGAUAUCGGAAGGAACACCAGUGGCGAAGGCGGCCGCCUGGACUGAUACUGACGCUGAGGCGCGAGAGCGUGGGGAGCAAACAGG
This 253-nucleotide ribosomal RNA is filed under the name uncultured bacterium. Its description in RNAcentral is "partial 16S ribosomal RNA". It matches the Rfam family "Bacterial small subunit ribosomal RNA", at positions 524 to 776 of the family's 1533-position model. The record is from RNAcentral.